RNAcentral lists this unclassified non-coding RNA (144 nucleotides) under uncultured fungus. RNAcentral's name for it is "sequence contains ITS1". Lineage: Eukaryota; Fungi. The record is from RNAcentral.
UUAUUAUAAUUUAUAAUUUGUUUUUCAAGCCAAGUCAAUCUAAUCACAGGGUAGCUGCUAAACCUUUUACGGUUAGCCAGACGAAGAUUGUCGCCUGAACAGAUAUUUAUAUUAAUGAUCCUUCCGCAGGUUCACCUACGGAAA